AACGAACGCUGGCGGCAGGCCUAACACAUGCAAGUCGAGCGAGGACUUCGGUUCUAGCGGCGGACGGGUGAGUAACGCGUGGGAAUGUGCCCUUCUCUACGGAAUAGCCCUGGGAAACUGGGAGUAAUACCGUAUACGCCCUAUCGGGGAAAGAUUUAUCGGAGAAGGAUCAGCCCGCGUUGGAUUAGGUAGUUGGUGGGGUAAUGGCCUACCAAGCCGACGAUCCAUAGCUGGUUUGAGAGGAUGAUCAGCCACGCUGGGACUGAGACACGGCCCAGACUCCUACGGGAGGCAGCAGUGGGGAAUCUUAGACAAUGGGGGCAACCCUGAUCUAGCCAUGCCGGGUGAGUGAUGAAGGCCUUAGGGUUGUAAAGCUCUUUCAGAUGGGAAGAUAAUGACGGUACCAGCAGAAGAAGCACCGGCUAACUCCGUG
RNAcentral lists this ribosomal RNA (433 nucleotides) under uncultured bacterium. Its description in RNAcentral is "partial 16S ribosomal RNA". It matches the Rfam family "Bacterial small subunit ribosomal RNA", at positions 29 to 507 of the family's 1533-position model. The record is from RNAcentral.